RNAcentral lists this ribosomal RNA (468 nucleotides) under uncultured bacterium. Its description in RNAcentral is "partial 16S ribosomal RNA". It matches the Rfam family "Bacterial small subunit ribosomal RNA", at positions 28 to 507 of the family's 1533-position model. The record is from RNAcentral.
GACGAACGCUGGCGGCGUGCUUAACACAUGCAAGUCGAACGGAAAGGCGCUGCUUUUGUGGGGUGCUCGAGUGGCGAAGGGGUGAGUAACACGUGAGUAACCUGCCCUUGACUUUGGGAUAACUUUAGGAAACUGGGGCUAAUACCGGGUAGGAGCUCCUGCUGCAUGGUGGGGGUUGGAAAGAUUCGGCGGUUGGGGAUGGACUCGCGGCUUAUCAGCUUGUUGGUGGGGUAGUGGCUUACCAAGGCUUUGACGGGUAGCAGGCCUGAGAGGGUGAACGGGGACAUUGGGCCUGCGAUACGCCCCAGAAUCCUACGGUAGGCAGCAGUGGGGAAUAUUGCACAACGGGCGGAAGCCUGAUGCAGCAACGCCGCGUGCGGGAUGACGUCCUUCGGGUUGUAAACCGCUUUCGCCUGUGACGAAGCGUGAUUGACGGUAACGGGUAAAGAAGCACCGGCUAACUACGUG